Molecule: microRNA precursor, 79 nt
Filed under: Cricetulus griseus (Chinese hamster)
Lineage: Eukaryota; Metazoa; Chordata; Mammalia; Rodentia; Cricetidae
Description: mir-3473 microRNA precursor family
Rfam family: mir-3473 microRNA precursor family
Source: Rfam by way of RNAcentral
ACCACUGAGCCAUCUUUCCAGCCCUGUGUUGCGGUUUUUAAAAGAUUGGUGAUAAGGGCUGGAGAGAUGGCUCAGUGGU